GCCGGGCGUGGUGGCGCAUGCCUGUAAUCCCAGCUACUCAGGAGGCUGAGGCAGGAGAAUCACUUGAACCCAGGAGGCGAAGAUUGCAGUGAGCUGAGAUCGUGCCACUGCACUCUAGCCUGGGUGACAGAGCGAGACUCUGACUCAAAAACAAAUAAAAAAAAAGUGGCCGAGCUCAGCGGCUCAAGCCUGUAAUCCCAGCACUUUGGAAGGCUGAGGUGGGUGGAUCACCUGAGGUCAGGAGUUCGAGACCAGCCUGGCUAACAUGGUGAAAGCCUGUCUCU
This 284-nucleotide small RNA is filed under the name Gorilla gorilla gorilla (western lowland gorilla). Its description in RNAcentral is "Metazoan signal recognition particle RNA (ENSGGOG00000043375.1)". The stretch from base 1 to 148 matches the Rfam family "Metazoan signal recognition particle RNA". From Rfam's summary of the family: The signal recognition particle (SRP) is a universally conserved ribonucleoprotein. It is involved in the co-translational targeting of proteins to membranes. The record is from RNAcentral. Lineage: Eukaryota; Metazoa; Chordata; Mammalia; Primates; Hominidae.